UUAGAAAAUAGAUGAAACUCAUCCUUCUCAGCUAUCUCUCUCAACGUAAACUUCUCCCCUCUCUGUAAAAAUUCGACAGCCUCUCUACUUCUCCGAUCAGCCACCGUGAUAGUUCCAAUCACUCCUCCGUGAAGCAUGUAGUACCCUCCACCAAUCCAAGCUUUCAAUUCCUCCUAUUUCCUCUUAAUUUUGGAGCUCAAGUUGAAAACCACCUCCACUUAGCUUUGCAAAUUAGUUAAAAUUAGAGGUGAACCGAGUGCGAGCUCAAGUGAUAGGGGAAAGGGGCCGAUGCAGGGUUAAGUAAACAAGUAGAAGAGUUUUGUUGGCGUGUACAGAGAUUAUAUAUGAUUGUGUGGACGGUAUAACUCAAUGACAUAAACGAGACAUGGAAAGGUAAGAUGUGAGAAUUAUGUUUUGAAAUUGUGAAUUGGUGUGAUAUAUGAUAUGCAAAGUGAUUUAAAUAGCUAUACGUGUUGAAUAAUGUGAAAGCUAUCUGGACUAGUUGUUAUGCCCCAUUGCUUGAGUGAAUCACAGGGUAUAGUUGGCAUGCCAUAGGACAGCAGUACUGCACACAUGUUUGAUGCCUUAUGAUAGGCUAUACGAAAGAUAUAUAGCAUCUGAUAGUAUCUCACCCAGAUGCCUUAUAAUAGGCUAUACGAAAGAUGUACAACAUCUGAUAGUAUCUCACCCAGAUGUGGAUAUGACAGAGGCCCUCAUCGGGUUGCUUAUAGUGUCCGUGUACCCGUGUCCAUCGCUAAGCAUAAUUUGGGAGCUGAAUGUGAUAUGAAUGUGAUAUUUGA
Salvia hispanica is the source of this 800-nucleotide non-coding RNA. NCBI's taxonomy places the organism in Eukaryota, Viridiplantae, Streptophyta, Magnoliopsida, Lamiales, Lamiaceae. The record is from RefSeq and is a predicted model, not a curated record.